RNAcentral lists this ribosomal RNA (751 nucleotides) under uncultured archaeon. Its description in RNAcentral is "bacterial SSU rRNA". It matches the Rfam family "Archaeal small subunit ribosomal RNA", at positions 170 to 922 of the family's 1478-position model. The record is from RNAcentral.
CUGGAAUGAAUCUAGGCUCAAACCUAAUAUGGGUCUGGGGAUUGAACUGCGGUCGAUCAGUCUGUUGGUGAGGUAAUGGCCCACCAAACCUAUUACCGGUACGGGCUAUGAGAGGAGGAGCCCGGAGAUGGGCACUGAGACAAGGGCCCAGGCCCUAUGGGGCGCAGCAGGCGCGAAACUUCUGCAAUAGGCGAAAGCUUGACAGGGUUACUUUGAGUGAUUUCCGCUAAGGGAAUCUUUUGGCACCUCUAAAAAUGGUGCAGAAUAAGGGGUGGGCAAGUCUGGUGUCAGCCGCCGCGGUAAUACCAGCACCCCGAGUGGUCGGGACGAUUAUUGGGCCUAAAGCAUCCGUAGCCGGUCCUGCAAGUCUUCCGUUAAAUCCAGCUGCUCAACAGAUGGGCUGCGGGAGAUACUACAGGGCUAGGAGGCGGGAGAGGCAAGCGGUACUUUAUGGGUAGGGGUAAAAUCCGCUGAUCCAUAGAAGACCACCAGUGGCGAAGGCGGCUUGCCAGAACGCGCUCGACGGUGAGGGAUGAAAGCUGGGGGAGCAAACCGGAUUAGAUACCCGGGUAGUCCCAGCUGUAAACGAUGCAGACUCGGUGAUGGGUUGGCCUCGCGCCUGCCCAGUGCCGCAGGGAAGCCGUUAAGUCUGCCGCCUGGGGAGUACGGUCGCAAGACUGAAACUUAAAGGAAUUGGCGGGGGAGCACCACAAGGGGUGAAGCCUGCGGUUCAAUUGGAUUCAACGCCGGG